Long non-coding RNA from Limulus polyphemus (Atlantic horseshoe crab), 416 nucleotides. RefSeq lists it as uncharacterized. Lineage: Eukaryota; Metazoa; Arthropoda; Merostomata; Xiphosura; Limulidae. The transcript is spliced from 3 exons. The record is from RefSeq and is a predicted model, not a curated record.
UAUUUUCAAGUAAAGGUUGAUCUACUGGACACAAAUCCAAAAUGAAGGCCAUAAUUAUUUUCGCGAUGGUCGGCUUUUUUGUCGUGAACGCCUUCUUGCGGAACAAACGACAAGCGUUCGAUCUACCAGAUAGCACUUCUACCUUGUCACCAAACACUGAAUUCAGGUGUGAGUCCGACGGUUACUUCGCCGACAUGGGAAGUGAGUGCAAAACAUAUCACGUCUGUAAAACACAAAUACAGUACGGAAUAAAAAAGACCAGGCAAUAUACUUUUGCUUGUGGUAACCUAACUGUCUUCAACCAACUGUACUUAACUUGCACUUAUCCUGAUGAACAGUUAAUUCCUUGUAAUAGGUCCGAUGAAUUGUACUACUUGAACGAAAGGCUUUUAGCCGGAGAUCCAAAACUCUAUUAU